CCCAAGAUGGGUCUGCAGGACAGCUUUUGCUGGGCUUUUUAGUGUCUGAAAACAGUGGCAACAUGACCUCAUGGGAAAGCUCUUGCACAUGGAUCUUUCUUCAGCGUGCUGUGUGGGAUAGCCAGUGCCUGUUGUUAUGACACCGGCAUAUCCCAGCAGUGGGAGGCACCAUCGAAUAGAUCCGCAAAUGCAUGCAAGAAUGCACGAGGCAAAGGAAAACAGAAAGAAAGAAAAAAAAAGUGCUGCUUCUGCUAUGUCUGCAUGCUUCCAGCUGCUCCCUGGGAAGCAUCGGUCGCGGGCCCCAGGGCACCGCAGCCCGCUAGGGGGAGGCAUCGGCUCGGGAAAGCCCCCGGAUCCCGCCCCGCACCGCCCCGCGCCCGGGGCAGCUCCAGCUGCACGUUCUCCUACUCCCAUAGGUUUGCAGCAUCUGCAAAAAGCCUCUUGGAAAUGGAGCCUAUCUGCAUCAAUUCAAAGAUCACAAACACUAAGAUGGAAACACCUGCCUUAGAGAACUGAAGAUAAUAGAGCAACACAGGAGGAGGUGAUGCUCUGACUGGUGGCUGCUGGGAUGGUUUGGGUUGAUGUCAAGCCCAGCAUGCAAUUCUGGGUUCAGCAAACCUAGGAGUUAAUUCUGAUGCUAUCUGUGAUUCAGGGAAAGAAAGUCAAAGCAACCAAAGGUCUUGGCCAGGAUAAUUCUCUUGACAUUUAUAAGGAUGUUUAUGCAUACAGAAAGAAGGGGUCUUCUGCAUAUAGAAAGAUUGGGGCUUAAAAUGAUCUGUCAGCAAUAUCCAGCCUUGUUAUGAGAGAUGAGCUAAGACAGAUGUAGUCUGGUUUAAGGAAUGCAGUCCAUGGAGUGGCACCUGCUUCUAAUUUGGGUGAAUUCAGUCCUGUUUUGUCACUUGCGGUUUGCUUACAUUAGCAAGCAGCAUUAUCAAUACUGCCCAAGCUACCGUCUGAGACUAAAAUACCCUGUCAUUGUCACUGCAAUUCCCUAAUGCUGGUUUUACAAGGAUUUUACUCUUGAUGUCAUUCUUUUUAAUUGCAUUUGGAUUUAUUUAUUUAUUUUUUAUUAGUCUGAAAAAUAAAUGAUUGUUGUUGCUGGAACUCUGGUCCUCU
Molecule: long non-coding RNA, 1116 nt
Filed under: Anas platyrhynchos platyrhynchos (common mallard)
Lineage: Eukaryota; Metazoa; Chordata; Aves; Anseriformes; Anatidae
Description: lncRNA (ENSAPLG00000026763.1)
Source: RNAcentral